RNAcentral lists this long non-coding RNA (676 nucleotides) under Monodelphis domestica (gray short-tailed opossum). RNAcentral describes it as "lncRNA (ENSMODG00000036345.2)". The record is from RNAcentral. Lineage: Eukaryota; Metazoa; Chordata; Mammalia; Didelphimorphia; Didelphidae.
UCCCCGAGAACCUGGCAACGGAAGAAAACAGGAUGUUCCCAAUUAGACGAUGUACAGGCGCAUUGGACCCAGGCAGAAGAUUCCAGGUUCUGACCACCAUCUUGAGAACGCCUGAGUCUCGACCCUCAUGCUAAGAGCCCCAGACUACUCUGACAGCUUGGAGGAAGACCUGCCAGCUCUCAUGGUCUCCUGGACAAUGCUACCAUACUUGAGCAACGGGUCCAAUCAGGAACUUCAACCAGCACCUGGGACCUUCUUGCCCCAGAACGCCCCUCCAUCAUGCCAGAAACCUUCUUCUACUGGUGAAUUCCUCCUGAGGCCUCCAGAUGAGAAUGGAAAUGAGGCUGGCCAGACUUCAUUUCCCUCCAGGCUUCACUUCUGGCCUUCUGGCCUUGAACCACGGAGUAACAGUGGCAGUCUCAACCCAGAAGUUCCCUUGGCACCUGCAGCCUCUUCAUCUAAGAAAAACCGGUGGACUUCUCAGACUGGAACAUCUGUCUACCAGGCUGACCCCUGUCUGCCAUGGGUGAGUUCCUCUCAGGGACUCCAUUUUGGGGAGGGGACCAGGCCAAACACUCCUCCUUCCCCUCCUGCCUCUGUUUCUGACAUUCUGGACUUGAAUAUUAGGCCUCAGCAGAAGUCUCACCCUGAAACAUCCCUCCACCAUGCCAACUCC